UCCGUAGGCGGGCGACUAAGUCAGAGGUGAAAUCCCACAGCUUAACUGUGGAACUGCCUUUGAUACUGGUUGUCUUGAGUUAUAGUGAAGUAGAUAGAAUAUGUAGUGUAGCGGUGAAAUGCUUAGAUAUUACAUAGAGUACCGAUUGCGAAGGCAGUCUACUAACUAUAUACUGACGCUAAUGGACGAAAGCGUGGGGAGCGAACAGGAUUAGAUACCCUGGUAGUCC
RNAcentral lists this ribosomal RNA (229 nucleotides) under uncultured bacterium. RNAcentral's name for it is "partial 16S ribosomal RNA". It matches the Rfam family "Bacterial small subunit ribosomal RNA", at positions 568 to 796 of the family's 1533-position model. The record is from RNAcentral.